ACGGGUGCGUACCGCGUGGGAAUCUGCCCUUGGGUUCGGAAUAACGUCGGGAAACUGACGCUAAUACCGGAUGAUGACGAAAGUCCAAAGAUUUAUCGCCCAGGGAUGAGCCCGCGUAGGAUUAGCUAGUUGGUGAGGUAAAGGCUCACCAAGGCUACGAUCCUUAGCUGGUCUGAGAGGAUGAUCAGCCACACUGGGACUGAGACACGGCCCAGACUCCUACGGGAGGCAGCAGUAGGGAAUAUUGGACAAUGGGGGCAACCCUGAUCCAGCAAUGCCGCGUGAGUGAUGAAGGCCUUAGGGUUGUAAAGCUCUUUUACCCGAGAUGAUAAUGACAGUAUCGGGAGAAUAAGCUCCGGCUAACUCCGUGCCAGCAGCCGCGGUAAUACGGAGGGAGCUAGCGUUGUUCGGAAUUACUGGGCGUAAAGCGCACGUAGGCGGCGAUUUAAGUCAGAGGUGAAAGCCCGGGGCUCAACCCCGGAACUGCCUUUGAGACUGGAUUGCUUGAAUCCUGGAGAGGUGAGUGGAAUUCCGAGU
RNAcentral lists this ribosomal RNA (537 nucleotides) under uncultured bacterium. RNAcentral describes it as "bacterial SSU rRNA". It matches the Rfam family "Bacterial small subunit ribosomal RNA", at positions 102 to 674 of the family's 1533-position model. The record is from RNAcentral.